Molecule: unclassified non-coding RNA, 678 nt
Filed under: Hevea brasiliensis (rubber tree)
Lineage: Eukaryota; Viridiplantae; Streptophyta; Magnoliopsida; Malpighiales; Euphorbiaceae
Source: RNAcentral
CGUUUCUUCUUUAGAUCUCUUUUGUGUCCCUUAAUUCGAUUUUUUCAUGCCAUCAAAUCUAUCAAUGGCUUCUAUUGUUUCUGCUAAUUUCUUACUCCAGCUACUGCUGUUUGUCUCUCUAUUCCAUCUCAACUUGGCAGCGAGACUGCUUACUCAAUCCACUGAAACCCAGCAAACCCUUCAGUUCCAGUACCACAAUGGGCCUCUUCUUACUGGCAAAAUUUCUAUGAAUUUGAUAUGGUAUGGCAAGUUUAAACCUUCUCAACGCGCAAUUGUCUCUGAUUUCAUUGCCUCCCUUUCAUCUCCUAAGCCGGCAAUAGCCCAACCCUCUGUCGCCACUUGGUGGAAAGCCACCGAGAAAUACUACCAUCUCAUCAAAUCUCAGAAAGCUUCUUCUCUUGCCCUCUCUUUGGGUACCCAGAUCUUAGAUGAGAGCUGUUCAUUGGGCAAAUCGCUCUCCAAUAAACAAAUUGUUCAAUUAGCAUCGAAGGGUGGCCAAAAAGAUGCUAUUAAUGUGGUUUUAACUUCAGGUGAUGUAUCAGUUGAGGGGUUCUGCUCUUCUAGGUGUGGCACUCAUGGCUCUUCAAUGGCUGCUGAAAAGAUCAAUGGCAAGAACUCCAAGUUUGCUUAUAUCUGGGUUGGUAACUCAGAGACUCAAUGCCCAGGUCAAUGUGCUUG